GAUGAAGAACGUAGCGAAAUGCGAUAAGUAAUGUGAAUUGCAGAAUUCAGAGAAUCAUCGAAUCUUUGAACGCACAUUGCGCCCUCUGGUAUUCCGGGGGGCAUGCCUGUUCGAGCGUCAUUAUAACCACUCAAGCUCUCGCUUGGUAUUGGAGUUCGCGAUCUCGCGGCUCCUAAAAUCAGUGGCGGUGCCUGUCGGCUCUACGCGUAGUAAUACUCCUCGCGAUUGAGUCCGGUAGGUUUACUUGCCAGCAACCCCCAAUUUUUACAGGUUGACCUCGGAUCAGGUAGGGAUACCCGCUGAACUUAAGCAUAUCAAUAAGCGGAGGA
This 329-nucleotide unclassified non-coding RNA is filed under the name soil metagenome. Its description in RNAcentral is "partial contains 5.8S ribosomal RNA, internal transcribed spacer 2, and large subunit ribosomal RNA". The stretch from base 1 to 120 matches the Rfam family "5.8S ribosomal RNA", at positions 35 to 154 of the family's 154-position model. The record is from RNAcentral.